GGGCGGUUGAGGGGUGGGUUCUGUGAGGGAAUCCAGUGAAUGACACUGGCGUAAGGUUAGCGACCAGCGAACGAGAGGGUUCUAGAGAUAUCCGACACCCUGGUUGGAGGAGCUUCAUCGGUUGAAAGGUCUGACCUGACUAGUCUUGGGUCGUGUUACACUCCUGACACGACCGAAUAACUCGCAGCUCUUCAGUAACGUCACCUACGUCCCAGGGCGACACGCGCAGUGUGUUUAUGUCUUUAUUCUACAGAAACGACACACUUUGUGACCGGAUACCAGCAAAGUUAUUAGCCACCCAGACAGACUGUCCUUUCAUUCAGGUUCGUAAUCUGGAAAGUAAAUUGUAAAUUAUACUUAAUUAUUAGCCAUGACGAUUUGCAUGUUGACAUUAGUUGGUAACAUGCGACAUCUUAAUGUGAAUAACAUGCGACAUCUUAAUGUAAAUAACGCUGUAAGGUGAAAGUUAAUUAGGUUAUGUGAUAUCGAGAGACUUCACUAGGCAUUUUCUGCUCAGGGGGCUUCACAUCACAAGGAAGGUGACGGGAAACAUUCUAAAAAGUGCUAAAGUGCUAAUUCAGCAGAUAGGAAGGUGAAGGGUUGUUCUUCCCCAAUGAACAUGCCCCC
Molecule: long non-coding RNA, 627 nt
Organism: Clupea harengus (Atlantic herring)
Lineage: Eukaryota; Metazoa; Chordata; Actinopteri; Clupeiformes; Clupeidae
Source: Ensembl